AACGAACGCUGGCGGCAUGCCUAACACAUGCAAGUCGAACGAGACCUUCGGGUCUAGUGGCGCACGGGUGCGUAACGCGUGGGAACCUGCCCUUAGGUUCGGAAUAACUCCCCGAAAGGGGUGCUAAUACCGGAUAAUGUCUUCGGACCAAAGAUUUAUCGCCCUUGGAUGGGCCCGCGUUGGAUUAGCUAGUUGGUAGGGUAAAAGCCUACCAAGGCGACGAUCCAUAGCUGGUCUGAGAGGAUGAUCAGCCACACUGGGACUGAGACACGGCCCAGACUCCUACGCGAAGCAGCAGUGGGGAAUAUUGGACAAUGGGCGAAAGCCUGAUCCAGCAAUGCCGCGUGAGUGAUGAAGGCCUUAGGGUUGUAAAGCUCUUUUACCCGGGAUGAUAAUGACAGUACCGGGAGAAUAAGCUCCGGCUAACUCCGUG
RNAcentral lists this ribosomal RNA (433 nucleotides) under uncultured bacterium. Its description in RNAcentral is "partial 16S ribosomal RNA". It matches the Rfam family "Bacterial small subunit ribosomal RNA", at positions 29 to 507 of the family's 1533-position model. The record is from RNAcentral.